AUACGGAGGGUCCAAGCGUUGUCCGGAAUCAUUGGGUUUAAAGGGUCCGCAGGCGGUCAAUUAAGUCAGAGGUGAAAGCCCAUCGCUCAACGAUGGAACUGCCUUUGAUACUGGUUGACUUGAGUUAUACGGAAGUAGAUAGAAUAAGUAGUGUAGCGGUGAAAUGCAUAGAUAUUACUUAGAAUACCGAUUGCGAAGGCAGUCUACUACGUAUAUUCUGACGCUGAGGGACGAAAGCGUGGGGAGCGAACAGGAUUAGAAACCCCAGUAGUCC
Molecule: ribosomal RNA, 274 nt
Filed under: uncultured bacterium
Lineage: Bacteria
Description: partial 16S ribosomal RNA
Rfam family: Bacterial small subunit ribosomal RNA
Source: RNAcentral